Molecule: ribosomal RNA, 1296 nt
Filed under: uncultured bacterium
Lineage: Bacteria
Description: bacterial SSU rRNA
Rfam family: Bacterial small subunit ribosomal RNA
Source: RNAcentral
AAGUCAGUGGCGGACGGGUGAGUAACGCGUGAGUAACCUGCCCUUCAGAGGGGGAUGACGUCUGGAAACGGACGCUAAUACCGCAUGACAUAUUUCCAUCGCAUGGUGGAGAUAUCAAAGGAGCAAUCCGCUGAAGGAUGGACUCGCGUCCGAUUAGAUAGUUGGCGGGGUAACGGCCCACCAAGUCGACGAUCGGUAGCCGGACUGAGAGGUUGAACGGCCACAUUGGGACUGAGACACGGCCCAGACUCCUACGGGAGGCAGCAGUGGGGGAUAUUGCACAAUGGGCGAAAGCCUGAUGCAGCAACGCCGCGUGAGGGAAAACGGUUUUCGGAUUGUAAACCUCUGUUCUAAGUGACGAACAAAUGACGGUAGCUUAGGAGAAAGCCCCGGCUAACUACGUGCCAGCAGCCGCGGUAAUACGUAGGGGGCAAGCGUUGUCCGGAAUUACUGGGUGUAAAGGGAGCGCAGGCGGAGAAGCAAGUCAGUGGUGAAAACGAUGGGCUUAACUCAUCGACUGCCAUUGAAACUGUUUCCCUUGAGUGAAGUAGAGGCAGGCGGAAUUCCGAGUGUAGCGGUGAAAUGCGUAGAUAUUCGGAGGAACACCAGUGGCGAAGGCGGCCUGCUGGGCUUUAACUGACGCUGAGGCUCGAAAGUGUGGGGAGCAAACAGGAUUAGAUACCCUGGUAGUCCACACUGUAACGAUGAUUGCUAGGUGUGGGGGGUCUGACCCCUUCCGUGCCGGAGUUAACGCAAUAAGCAAUCCACCUGGGGAGUACGGCCGCAAGGUUGAAACUCAAAGGAAUUGACGGGGGCCCGCACAAGCAGUGGAUUAUGUGGUUUAAUUCGACGCAACGCGAAGAACCUUACCAGGUCUUGACAUCCAACGAAUCCUUAAGAGAUUAGGGAGUGCCUUUCGGGGAACGUUGAGACAGGUGGUGCAUGGUUGUCGUCAGCUCGUGUCGUGAGAUGUUGGGUCAAGUCCCGCAACGAGCGCAACCCCUAUCUUUAGUAGCCAGCGGUUUGGCCGGGCACUCUAGAGAGACUGCCAGGGAUAACCUGGAGGAAGGUGGGGAUGACGUCAAAUCAUCAUGCCCCUUAUGAGCAGGGCUACACACGUGCUACAAUGGCGUAAACAAAGGGAGGCAGAACCGCGAGGUCGAGCAAAUCCCAAAAAUAACGUCUCAGUUCGGAUUGUAGUCUGCAACUCGACUACAUGAAGCUGGAAUCGCUAGUAAUCGCGAAUCAGAAUGUCGCGGUGAAUACGUUCCCGGGUCUUGCACACACCGCCCGUCA